Long non-coding RNA from Peromyscus californicus insignis, 1692 nucleotides. RefSeq lists it as uncharacterized. The record is from RefSeq and is a predicted model, not a curated record. The transcript has 3 exons. Lineage: Eukaryota; Metazoa; Chordata; Mammalia; Rodentia; Cricetidae.
AAAAAAAGUUCUACAUGUAAUUAGAAUAAAGUACUGUACCAAAUGUGGAAACAAAAUUGUAAAGGGCCUAGAAAAAGGUUCAGCAUGAAGUGUAAUACUCUUUUAGCGAAGAUCGAAAACGCAGAAGCAAUCAGGAGAAAAACUAGAAAUAUUAACUUACGGUGAGGGUGAGGGGUGAGGGGUGAGGCUGACAACAUUUAGAGACAAUGAAGUAAGGCCUGAGUAUAAAAGGACCUGGGGUGUGCCUCAAUGGCACCGAUUGCCUAGCAUCCCCAAGAAAAGGGAGCGGGGACUGGGACUAGGGGCGGGGGAGUGGAGAGGGUCAGUUCAGGUGCAUAUAAAGUUUGAUAUUUAUGUCUAGACAGGAAGAGAAAAGAUGCAUGAAAGCAGCAAAUUGCUGACAAUGAAGAAGCCAAGUGAGAAAAGGAGAUUGUCAGGAGUGGGAUUCGAACCCACGCCUCCAGGGGAGACUGCGACCUGAACGCAGCGCCUUAGACCGCUCGGCCAUCCUGACUGCGCGUCGGAGCGUGCAGCAGCCCACUUGGCAGGGACAACGUGAAGGCGCUCGCUCAUCCUUCGGUGAUUGGGUCCGGCAGCCGGGACACCCGGACUCCAGAUCGAAGCUGCGGAGCUCUCCACAGAAAAGAAGCAACCGCAGUCUACUCAGGGCCAGAAGGAAAAUAAUUGGGUCAGCUGUCGAGAGGUCUUGCGGAGGACCCAGGUGGGCCACAACCACCCGGAACCCCGGUUCCUGAGGACUUGACACCUCCGUCCUGCAGGCCCAAACACUCCAGAACACAGAGUGAAAACCACGUCCUGGGAAUCAGAAGGAAAGAGCUCACCAUUGUGCUGGCAUUCCGAGUCCACUCAUCACCCCGAGUUCCAUUAGGGGUGGAUGAGGACUGAGCUGCAAUUUGACCUUGACCCUAAAUCAUACACUAACCUCUAGCCGGACCCUGACCUUGACCCAUCGUGUUGGGCAAAAUAACACCGCCCCAAUGUAUCCAUGUGUUGAGUCGUGAAUAUGUUGCCUCAUGGGCUGGAUAUGGUUUAAGCGUGUCCCCCCAAAUGUCUGUGUGCUAGAAGCUUGGUCCCUGUUGUGGCUGUGCUGAGGUGGUAGAAGCUGUAAGAAGUAGCCCUGAUGGGGCUGGAGAGACAGCUCAGUGGUUAAGAACUGCUCCUCCAGAGGAACCCACCCCCUCUUCCGGCUUCCCUGAGCACCAGACACCCAGCAGCUUGGUGCACAGACAUAUGCAUGCAGGCAAAGCACCCACACACAUAAAAAUAAAUUAAAAAUAAAAAAAAGUAGGGUCCAAUAAGUAAGUUAAUCCAUGCAUCACAACUGCAUUCCUGCACAAAAGUGUGUGCGCCCAAGACACACAUACACACACACACACACACACACACACACACACACACACACACACACAGCAGUAGAAGGUGCUCAGAUCAUUGGAGUUGCCUUCAUCAUCAAUGUAGCUCUUGAGAUAAAGUUGGUUUUGUUUUUUUGGUUUUGUUUUGUUUUUUAAGUCUGGCCCCUCAGUUCUCUGGGCUUCCUGAUCACCGGAUCUCUCCAUCUGUCUCCUCUCUUCACCAUGAGAUCCUCACCAGAGAACUAACACAUGAUAGCACUUGAUAUUGGACCUUUGGCCUCCAAAUGAGAGUUAAAUAAACUUCAUUUUGUACCCAUUA